This is a microRNA precursor of Oryza sativa Japonica Group (Japanese rice), 197 nucleotides long. It matches the Rfam family "MIR812 microRNA precursor family". NCBI's taxonomy places the organism in Eukaryota, Viridiplantae, Streptophyta, Magnoliopsida, Poales, Poaceae. The record is from Rfam.
AAUAAGUGCAGCCGUGGAUAUCCGUGCCCAACGUUUGACCGUCUGUCUUAUUUGAAAAAUUUGAAAAUAUUUAGUCACACAAAAAAUACUAUUCAUGUUUUAUCAUCUAAUAGCAAUAAAAAUACUAAUCAUAAAAAAAUUUCAAAUAAGACGAACGGUUAAACGUUGAACGUGAAUAGUGCAAAACUACACUUAUU